UGUAACAGAACUAUGCUUUUGCCUAUGCUUUUUGCCUGGACUUAUAUAUCAAUGCCGCUGGAUGUAUUACAAAAACCGAAUGACUAUUUCGUGGAAAUAUCCUUACCGGAGAAUACAGCUCAAAAUACCGAACAUCGGACCACCCAGGGGAACAGUUAAGUGGUAUUUUACCUCCCAGCGCUUUUGGAGCCGUUCGCAUGGUUUCACACGAAUUCCUUUGUGCUCAGGUUAGAUGGCCGCCAUUUCGGGACUCUACAC
This is a non-coding RNA of Pelobates cultripes (western spadefoot toad), 258 nucleotides long. The record is from the annotation of a GenBank genome assembly. NCBI's taxonomy places the organism in Eukaryota, Metazoa, Chordata, Amphibia, Anura, Pelobatidae.